GACGAACGCUGGCGGCGUGCCUAAUACAUGCAAGUAGAACGCUGAAGGGAGAGCUUGCUCUUCUGGAUGAGUUGCGAACGGGUGAGUAACGCGUAGGUAACCUGCCUGGUAGCGGGGGAUAACUAUUGGAAACGAUAGCUAAUACCGCAUAACAUUGACUAUUGCAUGAUAGUCAAUUGAAAGGUGCAAUUGCACUACUACCAGAUGGACCUGCGUUGUAUUAGCUAGUUGGUGGGGUAACGGCUCACCAAGGCGACGAUACAUAGCCGACCUGAGAGGGUGAUCGGCCACACUGGGACUGAGACACGGCCCAGACUCCUACGGGAGGCAGCAGUAGGGAAUCUUCGGCAAUGGACGGGAAGUCUGACCGAGCAAACGCCGCGCGAGUGAAGAAAGGUUUUUCGGAUCGUAAAAGCUCUG
This 420-nucleotide ribosomal RNA is filed under the name Streptococcus cristatus. Its description in RNAcentral is "bacterial SSU rRNA". It matches the Rfam family "Bacterial small subunit ribosomal RNA", at positions 28 to 435 of the family's 1533-position model. Lineage: Bacteria; Bacillati; Bacillota; Bacilli; Lactobacillales; Streptococcaceae. The record is from RNAcentral.